UACAGAGACCUCAAGCGUUAUCCGGAUUUAUUGGGCGUAAAGCGUCCGCAGGUGGUUUAGCGGGUCAGGGGUUAAAACUAACAGCUUAACUGUUGGAUCGCCUCUGAAACUACUAAACUCGAGGUUGGGAGAGGUAAGCGGAAUUCUCGGUGUAGUCGUAAUAAGCGCUGAUAUCGAGAAGAACACCAAAUGCGAAGGCAGCUUACUGGAACACACCUGACACUCAGGGACGAAAGCGUGGGGAG
Molecule: ribosomal RNA, 245 nt
Filed under: uncultured bacterium
Lineage: Bacteria
Description: partial 16S ribosomal RNA
Rfam family: Bacterial small subunit ribosomal RNA
Source: RNAcentral